Molecule: ribosomal RNA, 253 nt
Filed under: uncultured bacterium
Lineage: Bacteria
Description: partial 16S ribosomal RNA
Rfam family: Bacterial small subunit ribosomal RNA
Source: RNAcentral
UACAGAGGCGGCAAGCGUUGUUCGGAAUUACUGGGCGUAAAGGGCGCGUAGGCGGCCCUGUCAGUCAGAUGUGAAAGCCCCGGGCUCAACCUGGGAACCGCAUUUGAUACUGCAGGGCUUGAGUUCCGGAGAGGAUGGUGGAAUUCCCAGUGUAGAGGUGAAAUUCGUAGAUAUUGGGAAGAACACCGGUGGCGAAGGCGGCGACCUGGGUAGAUACUGACGCUGAGGUGCGAAAGCGUGGGGAGCAAACAGG